Daphnia magna is the source of this 2312-nucleotide long non-coding RNA. RefSeq lists it as uncharacterized. NCBI's taxonomy places the organism in Eukaryota, Metazoa, Arthropoda, Branchiopoda, Diplostraca, Daphniidae. The transcript has 4 exons. The record is from RefSeq and is a predicted model, not a curated record.
GCCUGUCUGGUGCUUUUUGGGUUCAGCCUCGAGCCAGUCGGGGCCGAUCGCUAGGUGCUUUCCAUAAUUUUUACGACAGAAAAAGUAAUAACAUAUUCUCUAGAAAGACAGAAACAAAUUCUUCUUUUUUCUAAAUCGAAGUUACAAAGUACUUUUGAAUUUUACAUAAAAAAAAAAAAAAAAAAAAAGGAGUAAAACAAUUGCAAGCCUACCGCCAGAUUGCAGAUCAGAGUCAUUGACUUUGCUGAAGUCGAACAAGGAAUUGGCCUCAUUUGCCUCGUGGUCUCCGUGUGGUAAGGACCUACUGUAAUUUAGAUUUUCCACGAAUCCAUUUCGGUAACGUUACACUUUUUUAAUUCAUCCACCGGUGAAUUUGAUUGGGUGUGAGGAUGAUUGGGUUGAGUGUACUGACAAGUGUGUAUUUAGUGUAGAAUCCAGAUUUUCAAAAAGCGUGGCAGUGAUCAAGGGGCAACCACGUGUUGGCGAUUCUUCCCUGCGUCUGAGAGGAAAGCAAUGUAAUCGGGAUUGAUGUAGUACGACAACGUGGAUGCGAUUGGAUUGGAGUUGAAUCGUUUUUCUUCUUGGCGCCAUGCGAAGGGAGAAGCGAAACGGACCUUUUGUGUUACGACCGUAGACGUAAAAGGGGGCGUCCAAACGAGUGUGUGGCGUCUUUUUCUUCGAGACAGGCCAACCAGCAGAAGCGCACCAACAUUUUUGCCAAUCUUUUUUCCAUCCAGCGGAGCGCAUUCAUCAUCGCGGAGGAGGGGGCUGAAGGGGCUCUACGUUUGUGUCGCAUCGUUCGCCUUCAAGAGAAAAACACGGCGGAAUUUAUUUUAUUUGAGUUUUUUUUUUUCCUUGGAAAAAAAUUAUGAAUUUUUUGUUGUUGUUGUUGUUGAGGGGUUUUCUCUUUUAUGUUGGCCUGUUGUUGUCGCAUGGAACGCUUUUCUGUGUGACGUUCACACGAGGAAAGUAAACCGUUGGGACGUUGUACCUUGGCCUAAAACCAGCACGACGUUCAUCUUUUUUUUCAAAACAUUUCUUUGCAACAGGUUUCGCUUUCUCUGCUUUCAUUUCGAACAGCGUCACACGAACGCUGUUUAACUCGGCUUCAUUCAUCAAUGCCAAAUGCCAUUCAUCUGCUGUGUAAGAACUUUGAAUUUGUCUUCAAAUGGACGUUAGAUUUGAUUGGGUCUAAACAAAUGAAGAGACUCUUUACAGUAGAUCGAAUGUUUUGUUUGCCUCCACCAGUAGCCCCGAUGAUACUUGUUGUAUACUUAGUCGACGCAAACUGUGGAAGAUUUACGACCAUGUUUGUGUGGUCUUAUGCGCUGCCAACUUGAAAUGUAAAAAUGGUAAAAACAGAGAAUGGGAAGCAACACAAAUAAUCAACAACGAAAAAAGAGGAGCAUUUUUCACUCAACAGUUCGGUUGCUUAUAAUAGACAGUGACUUUUACGACGGUCUGCGUUUUCUUGGUCUCACACUCCCCUCGCACCAUACGACAGUUUUUGCCUCCCCUUUUGUUUUGUUUUUUUUUUGUCUUCUUUGGCUGUUGGACGAUAUUAGCGAAUCAGGACACCCGCGAUGGUUUCUUAAAAAAAAAAUAAAACCUUCUGGUUUUCUUCAACUUCUGGAUAACUUUUCUUCGCACCCUUUCUUUUUGUGCUCACCCUCACUAAAUUCUCCCUUUAAAAAGUCUUUGAGUACAUCUGGUGUUAAAUAAAAUAAAGUGGGAAAAAAAUAAAAUCAUAUUCUUUUUUUUUUGCUUAAAACCAACGUCUAGGGAACAGGACAGCCUUUGAAUAAAUUAGGAAAAUUCCGCAUAGGAUUGGAGAGCGCGAAUUAGUUUGGAAUAUUUUUUAAAAACCAUCUGGAUUUUUACUGUUUUAAUUGAUCUAGCGAAAUAGGUAGCGAAUCAACACGGUAGACCAGAGGACUCUGGAGUAGCACCCGGUCAACUUGCAUUUAAAAAAAAAAAGUUUGGAGUGGAAGGAAGCAGCUGAUAAAAAUAAAAAGUGAAAAGAGGAACCGACCUAGUUUGACCUGAUUCUGGACCAGCCACUGGCCGUUUUUAGGAACACGUGCCCUUCAAUGAAAAGGAAAAGGGGUUCAACUCUUUUGAAAGCGAAUUUCAAUGUCUAUAAUAACUGGAGCAGCAAGGUCAGAUCGUUGGGGGAGCAUUUUUAGAUUUUUUCAUAUAACUGUUGGAUCCUCUUUGUCUUUUGCCAUCGGUCUGCCCUUAACACAACGGAUAGCGUUCCACUCUCUCCUUCUAUUUUCAGUUCGCUUUUGCUUUUUAUUUUUCGAAUUUUU